Molecule: long non-coding RNA, 637 nt
Filed under: Nicotiana benthamiana
Lineage: Eukaryota; Viridiplantae; Streptophyta; Magnoliopsida; Solanales; Solanaceae
Description: long non-coding RNA (NBEN_LNC017133)
Source: RNAcentral
CAAAACCAGUGUCCAAGUUAAUUGAACUUCUACAACUGGUUGAUGAUCCCCAAUUUUGUCCAGAAGACUGUCCUACAUAACUCUGGUUGUUAGAUUGGGCUUUACGGUUGUAAAUAUCAGUAAUCUGGCACAUUGUGCUUCCACAGGAAUCCUGCAUUACUUGACCUCUGGCAGAGUGAAGCUCCACAUUUUCAUGACCUCUUUCCUUACUUGGAAGAGCUACAUGCACCUCCCCAUGACGAGACGAAGGGACUCGGCUACACAGUUGGAGUUUGUCUGAAUAAGGAUUACUUCCAUUCAUCAAGUCCAAAAAUUUUGGAAAUGGAGCAGACAACCCAUCUAUCCUCGCAUUUUCAGCAUUGCCAUUUAAGUCUUUACUUGCACGGUGGCAAGGUACCUCCAUUUCUCUGCAUUCUCUCCCUGUUCCAGUACAUCCUCGCAUUCUCAACAUUGCCAUUUAAGUCUUUACUUGCACGGUCGCAAGGUAACUCCAUUUCUCUGCAUUCUCUCCCUGUUCCAGUCGAACGUCCACACCGUUCAGAAAUAUUUCUGUCGGCAGAGGCAGCUCCAAGCUCCUGAGACCGGUUUGAUGUCUUUCCAUGAACCGAAGGGGCUUUAUGGAGCAGCCCAUUUAGUG